This 497-nucleotide ribosomal RNA is filed under the name uncultured bacterium. Its description in RNAcentral is "partial 16S ribosomal RNA". It matches the Rfam family "Bacterial small subunit ribosomal RNA", at positions 28 to 507 of the family's 1533-position model. The record is from RNAcentral.
GAUGAACGCUGGCGGCGUGCCUAAUACAUGCAAGUCGAGCGAACGGACGAGAAGCUUGCUUCUUUGAUGUUAGCGGCGGACGGGUGAGUAACAUGUGGAUAACCUACUUAUAAGACUGGGAUAACUUCGGGAAACCGUAGCUAACACCGGAUAAUAUUUUGAACCGCAUGGUUCAAUAGUGAAAGACGGUCUUGCUGUCACUAAUAGAUGGAUCCGCGCUGCAUUAGCUAGUUGGUAAGGUAACGGCUUACCAAGGCAACGAUGCAUAGCCGACCUGAGAGGGUGAUCGGCCACACUAGAGCUGAGACGCGGUCCAGGCUCCUACGGGAGGCAGCAGUAGGGAAUCUUCCGCAAUGGGCGAGAGCCUGACGGAGCAGCGCCGCGUGAGUGAUGAAGGUCUUCGGUUCGUAAAACUCUGUUAUGAGGGAAGAACAUAUGUGUAAGUAACUGUGCACAUCUUGACGGUACCUAGUCAGAAAGCCACGGCUAACUACGUG